This 101-nucleotide transfer RNA is filed under the name Candidatus Aminicenantota bacterium. RNAcentral describes it as "tRNA-Met". It matches the Rfam family "tRNA". Rfam says of the family: Transfer RNA (tRNA) molecules are approximately 80 nucleotides in length. Their secondary structure includes four short double-helical elements and three loops (D, anti-codon, and T loops). RNAcentral also lists the same sequence under 1 other name. Lineage: Bacteria; Candidatus Aminicenantota. The record is from RNAcentral.
GCCGGGGUGGCUCAGCCUGGUUGGAGCGCCUGACUCAUAAGCACAGCUCAAGGGUUCGCUGGGAAAUCAGGAGGUCGCGGGUUCGAACCCCGCCCCCGGCA